RNAcentral lists this ribosomal RNA (765 nucleotides) under uncultured Streptococcus sp. RNAcentral describes it as "bacterial SSU rRNA". It matches the Rfam family "Bacterial small subunit ribosomal RNA", at positions 28 to 776 of the family's 1533-position model. Lineage: Bacteria; Bacillati; Bacillota; Bacilli; Lactobacillales; Streptococcaceae. The record is from RNAcentral.
GACGAACGCUGGCGGCGUGCCUAAUACAUGCAAGUAGAACGCUGAAGAGAGGAGCUUGCUCUUCUUGGAUGAGUUGCGAACGGGUGAGUAACGCGUAGGUAACCUGCCUUGUAGCGGGGGAUAACUAUUGGAAACGAUAGCUAAUACCGCAUAACAAUGGAUGACACAUGUCAUUUAUUUGAAAGGGGCAAUUGCUCCACUACAAGAUGGACCUGCGUUGUAUUAGCUAGUAGGUGAGGUAACGGCUCACCUAGGCGACGAUACAUAGCCGACCUGAGAGGGUGAUCGGCCACACUGGGACUGAGACACGGCCCAGACUCCCACGGGAGGCAGCAGUAGGGAAUCUUCGGCAAUGGGGGCAACCCUGACCGAGCAACGCCGCGUGAGUGAAGAAGGUUUUCGGAUCGUAAAGCUCUGUUGUAAGUCAAGAACGAGUGUGAGAGUGGAAAGUUCACACUGUGACGGUAGCUUACCAGAAAGGGACGGCUAACUACGUGCCAGCAGCCGCGGUAAUACGUAGGUCCCGAGCGUUGUCCGGAUUUAUUGGGCGUAAAGCGAGCGCAGGCGGUUUGAUAAGUCUGAAGUUAAAGGCUGUGGCUCAACCAUAGUUCGCUUUGGAAACUGUCAAACUUGAGUGCAGAAGGGGAGAGUGGAAUUCCAUGUGUAGCGGUGAAAUGCGUAGAUAUAUGGAGGAACACCGGUGGCGAAAGCGGCUCUCUGGUCUGUAACUGACGCUGAGGCUCGAAAGCGUGGGGAGCGAACAGG